RNAcentral lists this ribosomal RNA (499 nucleotides) under uncultured bacterium. RNAcentral's name for it is "bacterial SSU rRNA". It matches the Rfam family "Bacterial small subunit ribosomal RNA", at positions 9 to 507 of the family's 1533-position model. The record is from RNAcentral.
GAGUUUGAUCAUGGCUCAGGAUUAACGCUGGCGGUAUGCCUAACACAUGCAAGUCGAACGGAAUACUCGAAAAGAGAAUCUCACACUAGUGAGAGGUUCUCCAACCGAGUAUUUAGUGGCGGACGGGUGAGUAACACGUUGGAACCUGCCCCGAAGUGGGGAAUAACUGCUCGAAAGAGUAGCUAAUACCCCAUAGUAUCCGGUUUAUCCGGAUUAAAGAUUUAUCGCUUCGGGAGGGGCCUGCGUCUGAUUAGCUUGUUGGUGGGGUAAAAGCUCACCAAGGCGACGAUCAGUAGCUGGUUCGAGAGGAUGUCCAGCCACACUGGGACUGAGAUACGGCCCAGACUCCUACGGGAGGCAGCAGUGAGGAAUCUUCCACAAUGGACGAAAGUCUGAUGGAGCAAUACCGCGUGCAGGACGACGCUUUUCGGAGUGUAAACUGCUUUUGUCGUCGAAGAUUAUGACUGUAGACGAAGAAUAAGGACCGGCUAACUACGUG